This 274-nucleotide ribosomal RNA is filed under the name uncultured bacterium. Its description in RNAcentral is "partial 16S ribosomal RNA". It matches the Rfam family "Archaeal small subunit ribosomal RNA", at positions 473 to 747 of the family's 1478-position model. The record is from RNAcentral.
AAACCAGCACCUCAAGUGGUCAGGAUGAUUAUUGGGCCUAAAGCAUCCGUAGCUGGCUCUGUAAGUUUUCGGUUAAAUCUGUACGCUCAACGUACAGGCUGCUGGGAAUACUGCAGAGCUAGGGAGUGGGAGAGAUAGACGGUACUCGGGAGGAAGUGGUAAAAUGCUUUGAUCUCUCGAUGACCACCUGUGGCGAAGGCGGUCUAUCAGAACACGUCCGACGGUGAGGGAUGAAAGCUGGGGGAGCAAACCGGAUUAGAAACCCUAGUAGUCC